UUAGAGUGAGCAGCCUCAUUAUGGUGGAU
This 29-nucleotide small RNA is filed under the name Bombyx mori (domestic silkworm). RNAcentral describes it as "ovarian small RNA-36703". Lineage: Eukaryota; Metazoa; Arthropoda; Insecta; Lepidoptera; Bombycidae. The record is from RNAcentral.